This 77-nucleotide non-coding RNA is filed under the name Paraburkholderia sp. BL17N1. The record is from RNAcentral. RNAcentral also lists the same sequence under 1 other name. Lineage: Bacteria; Pseudomonadati; Pseudomonadota; Betaproteobacteria; Burkholderiales; Burkholderiaceae.
UUGAGCGCAGUGCGGUGAAAGUCGCACGCUGCGUUCUUAGGGGGCGGCGACGCAGCAAUGCGUUGCUGCUACCCGCC